Molecule: ribosomal RNA, 402 nt
Filed under: bacterium
Lineage: Bacteria
Description: partial 16S ribosomal RNA
Rfam family: Bacterial small subunit ribosomal RNA
Source: RNAcentral
UGGGGAAUUUUGCACAAUGGGGGAAACCCUGAUGCAGCGACGCCGCGUGAUUUAGAAGGCCUUCGGGUUGUAAAAAUCUUUUCUAUGGGAAGAAAAUGACAGUACCAUAGGAAUAAGGACCGGCUAAUUACGUGCCAGCAGCCGCGGUAAUACGUAAGGUCCGAGCGUUGUCCGGAAUCAUUGGGCGUAAAGGGUACGUAGGCGGGUAAGCAAGUUAGAAGUGAAAUCCUAUAGCUCAACUAUAGUAAGCUUUUAAAACUGCUCAUCUUGAGGUAUGGAAGGGAGAGUGGAAUUCCUAGUGUAGCGGUGAAAUGCGCAGAUAUUAGGAGGAAUACCGGUGGCGAAGGCGACUUUCUGGCCAUAACCUGACGCUGAGGUACGAAAGCGUGGGUAGCAAACAGG